GUCCCCUUAGUUAAAUGGAUAUAACGAGGCCCCUCCCUAAGGGCUGGUGCGGGUUCGAUUCCUGUGGGGACACCA
Molecule: transfer RNA, 75 nt
Filed under: Salmonella enterica subsp. enterica
Lineage: Bacteria; Pseudomonadati; Pseudomonadota; Gammaproteobacteria; Enterobacterales; Enterobacteriaceae
Description: tRNA-Gly
Rfam family: tRNA
About the family: Transfer RNA (tRNA) molecules are approximately 80 nucleotides in length. Their secondary structure includes four short double-helical elements and three loops (D, anti-codon, and T loops).
Source: RNAcentral